RNAcentral lists this ribosomal RNA (274 nucleotides) under uncultured bacterium. Its description in RNAcentral is "partial 16S ribosomal RNA". It matches the Rfam family "Bacterial small subunit ribosomal RNA", at positions 523 to 796 of the family's 1533-position model. The record is from RNAcentral.
AUACGGAGGGGGCAAGCGUUGUUCGGAAUUACUGGGCGUAAAGGGCGCGUAGGCGGCUUUGUAAGUCGGAUGUGAAAGCCCAGGGCUCAACCCUGGAAUUGCAUUCGAUACUGCUUGACUAGAGUAUGGUAGAGGGAAGUGGAAUUUCCGGUGUAGCGGUGAAAUGCGUAGAUAUCGGAAGGAACACCAGUGGCGAAGGCGACUUCCUGGGCCAAUACUGACGCUGAGGUGCGAAAGCGUGGGGAGCAAACAGGAUUAGAAACCCCAGUAGUCC